Molecule: long non-coding RNA, 750 nt
Organism: Alnus glutinosa
Lineage: Eukaryota; Viridiplantae; Streptophyta; Magnoliopsida; Fagales; Betulaceae
Exons: 2
Source: RefSeq, a predicted model, not a curated record
CAAGUGUCUAAUCAUUCUCUUGCAUAUUAAUGUAAGGUGUAAGCCUUAAUUAUUGAAUUACAAUUCAAAUUAAGAAAGUUUCUAAAGUGUGAGAAAAAAAAAAUGGUUAGGAAAUGUGUUAGAAACCUUGUGGUGGUGAUCGUGAAAGUGCUUAUCCUUAUUAUCCUACUUCCUUAUUCCUUUGAACUUGAUCAAGCAAAAAGAGACAUACAUGAGUGCCUUACAAAUGAAAUUGAAGGUUGUGAAAGUUCUAAAACAACAUGGCCACUUUCCGACAUAAAAUAUAGCUAUUGUAUUUUUCGUGGUUUUAAGAUGUGCUUGCUCGAAUUUCCACCCCACCCAAUUAUGCAUCCUAUCAUUAGAGAUUGCUUCCUAGUUUGUGCGAAAAAAUUUGAAAUUGAACCGCAGGACAUUGCCCGUUUUACUUCGUGUCUAUUGGAAUGUUAUGAAGAGCAUGUCAAGAAGCCCUCAGACAUCAUUUAUAUGCAGAAUCCUUGAGUUCCAACUUUUGAUCUGAUAGCGUUGAGGAUCAAGGGAAUUAUGGGGCACAAGGUUUUGGCUGAGGUAUAUGGUCAAGUUAGAAGUAAGGAAUAAGCCACUGGCAAUUAGUGUAUUAAAUGUUUGGUUAUGACAUUAUGUUAUAGUUAUGUUUUAGUUGAGAUCUAUAAUUGGAUGAAGUUGUAAACAUUAUGAUUGUGAUAUAUUUUGGAGUACUUAUAAUUUAUGAAGUAUUAUGCUCUGGUUAAGUUA